This 2003-nucleotide ribosomal RNA is filed under the name human gut metagenome. RNAcentral's name for it is "bacterial LSU rRNA". It matches the Rfam family "Bacterial large subunit ribosomal RNA", at positions 1 to 2023 of the family's 2925-position model. The record is from RNAcentral.
GAAAGUAAGCAAGGGCGCAUGGCGGAUGCCUUGGCUCUCGGAGGCGAUGAAGGACGUGAUAAGCUGCGAUAAGCUUCGGGUAGGUGCAAAUAACCUUUGAUCCGAAGAUUUCCGAAUGGGACAACCCGUCAUUCUGAAGGAAUGACAUCUUGCAUAGCAAGAGGCUAACGCAGGGAACUGAAACAUCUUAGUACCUGUAGGAAAAGAAAAUAAUAAUGAUUCCCCUAGUAGUGGCGAGCGAACGGGGAUUAGCCCAAACCAAUGUUGUUACGGCAAUAUUGGGGUUGUAGGACCACGAUGUCGCAAGAAAUUUAGUGAGAAGAACCCUUUGGAAAAUGGGACCAUAGACGGUGAUAGUCCGGUAUUCGAAGCUAAAUGAAGCGUAGUGGUAUCCUGAGUAGCGCGGGACACGAGGAAUCUUGCGUGAAUCUGCCGGGACCAUCCGGUAAGGCUAAAUACUCCCGAGAGACCGAUAGCGAACCAGUACUGUGAAGGAAAGGUGAAAAGCACUUCGAAUAGAAGAGUGAAAUAGUCCCUGAAACCGUGCGCCUACAAGCGGUCGGAGCUGCUUCAGCAGUGACGGCGUGCCUUUUGCAUAAUGAACCUACGAGUUACUUUUUCCGGCAAGGUUAAGGAUCUUGAGAUCCGCAGCCGAAGCGAAAGCGAGUCUUAACAGGGCGAUUAGUCGGAAGGAGUAGACGCGAAACCAAGUGAUCUACCCUUGGUCAGGUUGAAGGUUAGGUAACACUAACUGGAGGACCGAACCGAUAAGCGUUGAAAAGCUUCCGGAUGAACUGAGGGUGGGGGUGAAAGGCUAAUCAAACUUGGAGAUAGCUCGUACUCCCCGAAAUGCAUUUAGGUGCAGCCUUGGGAAUUACUACUGUGAGGUAGAGCGACUGAUAAGAUGCGAGGGCUUCACCGCCUAUCAAGUCUUGAUAAACUCCGAAUGCGCAGUAGUUCGAUCCCAGGAGUGAGGGCAUGGGUGCUAAGGUCCAUGUCCUAAAGGAGAAGAAUCCAGACCAUCAGCUAAGGUCCCGAAAUAAUUGCUAAGUUGAACUAACGAAGUCAGAUUGCUAAGACAGCUAGGAUGUUGGCUUGGAAGCAGCCAUUCAUUUAAAGAGUGCGUAACAGCUCACUAGUCGAGGAGUUUGGCGUGGAUAAUAAUCGGGCAUUAAGCAAUUUACCGAAGCUAUGGGAUCAGUAAUGAUCGGUAGGGGAGCAUUCCACUCUGCGUCGAAGGUGAAGCGUGAGCUUUGCUGGAGCGUGUGGAAAAGCAAAUGUAGGUAUAAGUAACGAUAAAGGGGGUGAGAAACCCCCUCGCCGAAAGACUAAGGUUUCCUGAUCAACGCUAAUCGGAUCAGGGUUAGUCGGGUCCUAAGGCUCAGCCGAACGGUGAGGCCGAUGGCAGAACAGGUUAAUAUUCCUGUACUACCUUAAAGAGUGACGUGGAGACGGAGGAGUGACAGCGCCGCGGACUGACGGAAUAGUCCGUUGAAGGGUGUAGAUGUUGAUUAUCCCAGGCAAAUCCAGGAUAAGAGUCGAACCUGAUAGUAUACCAAAUUCUUCGGAAUAAGGUAAUAGUGCGUGUAAGCAUACUCCCAAGAAAAUCCGCUAAACUUAAUCUUUAAGGUACCCGUACCGCAAACGGACACACGUAGUCGGGUUGAAUAUACUAAGGCGCUUGAGUGAUUCACGGUUAAGGAACUAGGCAAAUUGACCCUGUAACUUCGGGAUAAAGGGUCCCAACGAGAGUUGGGCGCAGAGAAUAGGUCCAGGCAACUGUUUAACAAAAACACAGGGCUGUGCCAAAUUGAAAGAUUACGUAUACAGCCUGACACCUGCCCGGUGCUGGAAGGUUAAGAGGAGAUGUCAUCGCAAGAGAAGCAUUGAAUUGAAGCCCCAGUAAACGGCGGCCGUAACUAUAACGGUCCUAAGGUAGCGAAAUUCCUUGUCGGGUAAGUUCCGACCUGCACGAAUGGUGUAAUGAUCUGGACACUGUCUCA